RNAcentral lists this long non-coding RNA (10666 nucleotides) under Triticum aestivum (bread wheat). Its description in RNAcentral is "long non-coding RNA (TAES_LNC011477)". The stretch from base 1784 to 1898 matches the Rfam family "MIR1120/MIR1122 microRNA precursor family". The record is from RNAcentral. Lineage: Eukaryota; Viridiplantae; Streptophyta; Magnoliopsida; Poales; Poaceae.
UUUGGGUGACUUGCCUAUUAUGAGUUUUAACUGAAUAUAUCUGCAGGGAUCAACUCGCUUUGUUUCAGGGGUUCUUGUACUUGGGCCAUGUAUCUGAUGCCUUUGAUGAAAUGGAGGAUGGACAUGAUGGUGCUGAGAAAUAUGCUCACUAGAUAUAGCACUCAAGCCUUGGUAUUAUUCAUUAAGAAUUAGCCAUCAUGUACUUUCUAUGGUUGUAUUAGGCUUUUUUAAGCAAAGACAUGUUGUAAACAAGCUGAAUUUGUUGAACUCUAUCUCCAAUGAGAGUUGUACUGUACUUUUGUGUUGGAAGCAUGACAUUGUCUGUUUAUCCUUGUUCAGUCAUUAACCUGGUCAUGUUUGCAGCCACAUCAUGCUCUGCUCAGCAUGCUCAUGCAUCAUCUUGCUUUUAAGAUCUGAUGAUUAGUUACAGGUUAUUGUUGCCCAUGCUGUUUUCAGUGUGCGAGUGUUUUGUUUGGUGCCUUUUCAGAGUCAGGAAAGCAACAGUGAUCAUGUUCAAGUCGCAUUUUGAUUUUUGAGGCUUCUGCAAAAAAGAAAAACAUGCUUCUUGCUUCAUCCUAUAACAUUCAGAUAUCCUCAUCUUGUAAGCGAGACACCUUACAUUUCCUGGUUGAUCCCACACAUAUGCCCAUUGUUGUAGUGUUUAUGCAGGACAUGCUUUUUAAUGGUUGCUGUCAUGUUUAUUGACUGCAAAUACUCCACCUCUUAUCCAGUUGGGCAUGUCUUUGAUUGAGAACACUUUUCUAUAAGGCUGGGCAGCACUAGAACUUCUCCCCAAUCAUGCUUGUCUGAUUUCGUUUGCAAGGGAUAACUUGCAGAGCAUGUCACAAGAAACGCACGAAAAGGAGUGACCCAUUGGCACAAGUUGCCAACCACCGAGUGAGUCAACAGGUAGGUGACCAGAAACUCAUCAUAUAAUACUAUACUGCAUGCUGGUGCUUAAGAAAAUCCAUCACACAGCCACUCUUCUAUGUAUAUAUGCUUGCCUGGCUCUGGCUGCUAAUUAUCAUCUUCUUGCUUGUCGUUGCCGCCAGUGUUGCACCUUGAAUCAAGAUCCAUCCAUGGAGCCAAUGCAAGGAAGAGUGCAGAUGUGGAUGCUCCUGUGGCUCGCCUUCUGCUUGCUCGAGCAUUCGCAUUCGCUGGUGUUCCCGUUCCCCAUGCCGUUCUUCGCCCCUUCCUACACCAACCAGCAAGACGGUGAGAAGAAUCUGCAAAACUUUUCUGAGUCUUGCAGUGCAAUGCAUGUAUGCUAAGUCAUUUUUUCCUCUUAUUUUGCUGGUGCAGUUGAUGCUGUGAACGAGCUGUACGCGUCACUGGGCUCGCCGGACCUCCGUGGCUGGGCUGCCUCGGGAGGAGACCCUUGCGAGGAGGCAUGGCAAGGGGUGCAGUGCCUCGGCCCCAACAUAACCGAAAUGUUAGCUGUUCUUUUAGAAUCUCUUGUACCAUGCCGAGCUUCAUGCACUAGCCAAUCACAGAAAAGCUUUUUGUUGAAACUGACAGAGCACUCAAAGGCGCGGGUCUAGAAGGGAAGCUGAGCGAGGCACUCGGAAAGCUCACUGCUGUUACAAGAUUGUUUGUGAAUUUACAUCAUAUUUCAGUUCUACUUUCUGUCCACUACCACUUCAGUUUAUUUAUUGACAUUGUUUUUGGAUUGUGUUCAUGCAGGGACCUGUCAUCAAACAACCUCGGCGGUGAGCUGCCGGAGUCAAUGGCAAUGCUCAAAUCCCUUUCAGCACUGUGGGUAGCUGAGUAUUAUGCUUCCUAAUUAGUACUCCCUCCGUUCGGAAUUACUUGUCGUGGAAAUGGAUGUAUCUAGACGUAUUUUAGUUCUAGAUACAUUCAUUUCCGAGACAAGUAAUUCCGAACGGAGGGAGUACUAUGCAGUGAUACUCUUUUCCUGGUAGUUUGUGGUUAAAUGCAUUGUUUUUCUGAAUUUGCAAUGUGCUGCAGGCAUGUGCAGAACAACAGCCUAACUGGGACACUCGAUGUGCUGCGUGAUCUUCCCCUGAAAGACCUGUAAUUGCUUUACCUAUUUACACAGAUACCUCCUUAGCUCAUACUGUGAAAUAUGAUGAUCACUCUACUCCUUGACGAGAUAACGUGCAAAAUCCUGCAUGUUGUUGAGAGGGAAAAAACAUUUCCAUGAAACAAAGGUCUGACUGCAUUUCCCGCAUGCCCAUUCCUGAAUCUUGAUUAUGUGACCGUUUACAGGAAUGUGGAGAACAAUCAGUUCGCAGGAUCAAUCCCAGAGAAGAUGCUGAACAUCCCAAAAUUUCUGUAAGAACUCCAUCCUCUCUUAUCGAGAUUCAAGAACCAAAAGAGCUUGGCUAACUGCUGCCUGCCUAACAAAUCAAUAAUCUUGCCUGAAUUUUCUGCAGAAGAAAUGGCAACCAUUUCACCAUUCCGAUCCCUGGUUCCUCUCCGACUCCGGCGACGUCGUCUCCUUCUCCAGCUGCACAUCCUCACAUUACUGUAAUUCCAGCAGUUACUCCACAGGACACUACACACGGUGGGGCUCCUCGGAGGCACGCCAACAAGGUGUUUCCGGCAAAGGCUGCCGGAUUCAGCAUUCUCGCUGCCAGUUUAUUGACCAUUGCUGUCGUUGUAAUCGUGUUCGCAACCUUGAGAAGGCGGCAGGAGAUGUCCACUCGGGAAGGGCACCUGAGCGCAAUUGCGAGGAGCGUGGCAAUCUGGACAAGGAAGCCUCCUAAGCUAGGUGCAACUGCCAACCCUGACAAACAACACAGUACAGGUACAUGAAAAACAAUGCUGAAAUUUUAUCCUGAAAAUUAAGAACCUACAUAUUCUGAUAUCAAUGUCCAUUGUUGUUUUGAUCAUUGAAGUCGCUGCAAAUGACAUUGUGGGGAGCACUCUGAGAGAUUGCACAAAGGUGUCGGGUUUAUCGGCACAUACACCUCUCAAGAACUACAGCAUGCCAAGCAUUGUUUCAGAUAAGAAUGUUCAGCGGGGGUCAGAAGAAGGCAAACCCUCGACGGUUUCCUUCAAGUUCUUCACUGUUGCAUAUCUGCAACAGUGCACCAACAGCUUCAGCGCUGAGAAUUUUCUGCGAGAAACUCGGUUCGGCAAUAUCUAUCUUGCAGAGCGCCCAGAAUGCAAGGUAAAUUGAACUGUAUGUAGAACUUUCAUUCCUAAUUGUAUCAUAUUCAGUUUCUUUAUAGUAGCAGAGUACCAUCUCUUUUUCCUGUUGGAAACUUUGUGGUGUUAUUGACAUCAUCUUCCCAUGAUCACAUUUCUUCUAGUUUGCGGUGCUGAAGCUUCGCGACACGGCUACGAAAAUGGCGGCUGACGUGUUUCUGGAGAAUGUUCGGACCAUCGCCGACCUUCGACACCCCAACAUAGAAGAGCUUGUGGGUUGCUGCGUGGAGCACGGACAGAGGCUGCUCGUGUACAAAUAUUUCAGCGAACACACAUUGGACGACAUGAUCCACCGCGGCAGCAGCGACACUGCCGAUCCCGGCAGCAAGUUCCUGUGGGAAGCUCGGAUCGCCGUGGCCCUCGAGGCCGCCAAGGCUCUCGAAUACCUCCAUGACGGUGGCGGCGGCCAGGAGGGACAUGUCGCCGUUGUCCACGGACAUUUCAGGCCGGAGCAUGUCCUUGUCGACGGCGAGGCGCGGGUGCGCGUGUCCGGAUGCGGCCUCGCCCCGUUCGCGCCACCGUCAGCGUCAGGAACUACUACGGACUGGCAAGACGACGCACUGAGCUACGUCGGUCCGCCGGAAGAAGCCGCAACGACGGAGGCGGCCACAGGCCGCGACGUGUACUGCUUCGGUGUGGUGAUGCUGCAGCUCCUGACGGGGCGCAGGCCCUACGACAAUGUGCGGCCGCGAGGGGAGAGGCUCCUGGUGCCGUGGGCUGGCGCGCGGCUGCACGAUCUGAGCGCUCUGCGCAGGAUGGCCGACCCACGCCUCCGGGGCACGCCGGUGCCGGUCAGGUCCCUAUCACGGUUCGCGGACAUCAUCAGCAGAUGCGUGCAGGUAACUAAAGCUCGUCCUUACUUUGGUUUCUCGUUUUCUUGGGCUGCUGCGUUGUCGUCGUAAUGGAGUUUGCCUACGUGCAGCGGGAGGCUGAGUUCCGGCCGGCGAUGGCGGAGGUGGUGCAGGACCUGAUGGGCGCCACCGCCACGGAAGAGGCGCACAUAGCGAACGACUGCGGAGAGCUAUCGCCGGUGACGGCAGAGUACCAACUUGGUGUGAACUGCUCGCUCUGAUUGACAUAGAAAACUGCCAAACAUGUCCUCACCAUCAGCAUAGAAUGCAUCUAUUGUACUCACUAAGCCAUUUACUAUGCUGCAUUGCCUUUGAUCUCAGGCUGGAAGCACUGUUUCAAGCAAAUUAUUUUUCCAUCAAAGGAGAAUUCUUGGGUUUUAUUUGGUUAUAGGGUGCAACGCCCGGACUACACUUGAGGGCCCCAAUAGCAAGCUAUUCUGAUGGACCCUCCCUGACACUUAGCCCACAUAUCAAACAGAUACUGCACUUGAUCUUAGCCAAAAGGUCGAGAAAGAUAUGAUUUGAAACUUUGUCCUCCCUCUCCUUUUAUGGCUUCUUGGGCCAACUCCACCACGUGUGCCGGCGAGGUGGGACUAAACGAAACUAAGAGUAAACUAAGAGUUGCAGUGAGUAUUAACAAAUUUGUACCUGCCCCCGUUGCGCCCGUUUCUUCGCUGCACGCAAACGGGCGCAUACCCCCCGCGCCAGGCUGGGCCGGCCCAUUUCUUCUUUUUCUGUUAAAAUUGCAUCAAUCAAAAAAGCAUGAGUGCGGUGGUUCGAACUUGGGAUGUUCCGUUUAGACAUCAGCGCAGUUACCACUAGGCAAAGAACCACUUGCUGUUUGCAAACCUCUUUUGCCUCUUUUAUUGUUUUUCCAGGUCGCGAGAUUUUUUCUCCUUUUUCCUGCUCUUUUUUCAUUUUUCUUUUCUUUAUUCCUUUUUCUUUUUUUUCGUAAAUGUGCAAUUUUUUAUUCAAAUUUGAUGAACCUUUAUCAAAUUGAUGAUUUUUUUUAAAACUCAAUGAAAAUUUUCAAAUUCCAUAUUUUUUUAAAACGUGAAAAAUUAUUGAAAACCUGAACAAAAAAUUAUAUACGAUGAGCAAUUUUCAAAUAUACAUUGAACAUUUUUUUGGUGUACGAUGAACAAUUUUUAACUACACAGCAAACAUUUUUGUGAUAUACAUUGAAAUAAUUUAAAACAUAUUUAUACAUUCUUUUGAUAUAAGAUGAACAACUUUUAUACAUUGAAAUUUUUUGUAAUAUAAUCUGAACAAUUUUUAACUACACAUUGAACAAUUUUAUGAUAUGCGCUGAAAAACCAUUUAAAUACCCAUUGAACAUUUUUUUUAUGUACACGGAACAAUUUAAAAUUGUGAACAAAAUUUUAAAAAGUGAAUAAAUUUGAAAAACUAUGAACACAUUUUGAAAUCAUGAACAAAAAACGAAAAAUACAUUUUUUAAAAUUCCAUGAACUUUUUUCAAAUUCAAUGAACUUUUUCUAGAUUUCGAUGAACCUUUUUCAAAUUCGAUGAUUUUUUUUCCCAAAUUUGAUGAACUUUUUCCAACUUUGAUGAACUUUUUUUCAUAUUCGAUGACCAUUUUUCAAAUUCAUUGAACUUUCUUCUAAAUUCAAACAAAAUUUUUUGAUAUUGAUGAACUAUUUGUCAAAAUUGAUGAACUUUUUUAAAAUCAAUGAUUUUUUUAGUUCGUUAACCUUUUCAAUUCGUGAUUUAUUUUGAAAUCUGUGAAUUUUUUCAAAUUUCGUCCCGAAAAAAAUUAUGUUUCCCAAAAUCUGUGCGCAAUAAAUAGCGUGACGUUGAUUAUUCUUAAUUCAUGCGCGCUGAAUAUAUCCAUGAUUGAUUGGUUGCACUAGUGGUUAGUUGACUGGGACAUGUACCGGAGGUCGCGUGGUUGAUUCCUCACGGGAGCAACACUUUUUAGGGGAUUUUUUUGUGGUAUAGAUGGGAUUUUUUUUUCGUGGUAUAGAAGGCGUGUCGUGGGCCGGCCCAGCAGGCGCGGCUGUGAGCGCCAGCUUCCUGAACCGGCGCUUAAGGCGCCGGUUAGGAGCUCCCCUCCUAUACAGCGCUGCAGGCGGCGGUUGCUGCAACUGGCGCUCGCAGCAGCGUCUCGGUGGGCCGGCCCACGAGCGCGCAGCGCCAAGAAAACCCCCGCAAAAAAUGCGUACGCUGCAGGAUUCGAACUCACGCCAUGACAGUGCGAAACCUUGAAGAAUAGAAAGGUAGGCGCACUAUUUAUUGCGUGGUCCACUAUAAUGUUUAGAUUUUCAAUUAUUUAAAAACAUGUUCACAUAUUUCAAAAAUGAUGUUCACGAACAUGCAAAAAAAAAGUUCACCAAAAUUAAAAAAUGUUCAGGUAAUCAAAAAAAAGUUCAUGAAUUCAAAAGAAGUCCAUUACUUACAAAAAUGUUCAAUAUAUUUUGACAAAAUUUGCAAACUCGAAAAGAGUUUACGAAUUUCAAAAAAAAGACAACAUAUGUAAAAGAUUGUGAGUUUGAAAAAAAGUUCAUUAACUUUGAAAAAACAAUUUGUCGAAUAUGAAAAAAGUUCAUGAAAUUUGAAAAAGUUCAGAAGUGGAAACAAGUGCAUCGAUUUAAAAUUUUCAUCAAAUUUGGGAAAAUCUCAUCCAAAUUGAAAACAAAAUCAUCAAGUUUUAAAAAAAGUUCAUCGAAUUAGAAAAAAAGUUCACGAUUUUCAAAACCAGUUCAUCAAAAAUGAAAACAGUUCAUCAAUUUGAAGAAAAAGGUUGAUCAAUUUGGAAAAAACGUUAAUACUAAUUAAAAAAAAGUGAAUGGAUUUUCAAAAACGUUCAUCGAACUUGAAAAAUAGUUCAUAGAAUUUGAAAAAAAAGUUCCUUGAAUAUGAAAAAAAGUUAAUGAAUAUUAAUACAAAGUUCAUCGAAUAUGAAAAAGUUCAUAGAGUUUGAAAAAAGUUCAUUGAGUUUGAAAAAAGUUCAUCAAAUUAGUAAAAAGUUCAUUGAAUUUGAAAAGAAGUUCAUCGAUUUUCAAGAAAAAAGUUCAUGAAUUUGAAACAAAAACAUCAAACCAGGAAGAAGGAAAAAAAUAAACAAACAGAAACAAAAAAGGAAAAAAGGAAAAAGGGAAAAGAAAAAAGGAAAGAAGUCAUGAACAAAAACCAGAAAAGUAUGUAAUGCGACAGUUCAGUGAAGUAGGCGUAGUGGUUAUUGUAGCUUUGCCCAAUGUGGAGAUCGCUGGUUCAAUACUUGGUUGGUGUGCCUUUUUUGCUGUUUGAAACAGAAAUGCCGAGCAAACGCACACAGGAGCGAGCGGGAUCACAUGUACUGGGCCGGCCCAAUUACGUGAUUCGGUUUUAGGAACCUUCUAGCAGUUCUGUCUGGUUUUAUGCAUCUUGGGAACCUCCCAGAAGGUUCUCUGAACCGGUUUUUGUCUGUUUUUUCCCUUGUGUUUUCUUUUUCGGUUUUUUCCCUUUUCUGUUUCUCUUGUAUUUUAUUUUUUCAACAAAUGUUCAGAAAUUUGAAAAAUGUUCGCAUUUUAAGUUUUUUUCACAAAUUAAGGAAAUUUUAAAAAAUAUCCAUUUAGAAAAAAGUGUUCGCAAAUUUUUAUAAUUUUAAUGUUUUCAAAUUUUUUCCGCAAUUUCAAAAAAUGUACGGAAACUUGAGAAAAUGUUCCAGGUUUUUAAUUUUGUUCUAGAAUUUUUCAAUUGCCCACGUUCUGAAAAUUCGUUCUGACACUCAAAAAUCUGUUUAUUUUUCUUCUUUAUUUUUCUUCUUUUCUUUUCCUUUUGCUGUUUCUUUCUUUCUUCUUUGUCUCUUUUUCAUUUUUUUCUUUUUCAAGUUGAUAUUUUUAUUUUAUUUUAAUUCAAACCUUUUAGGUUUCUAAAAAAUGUUCUACUUUAAAAAUAUGUUCACAAUUUGAAAAAGUGUACAAGAAUUUUAGAAAAUGUUCGUCUACUUCAAAAUUUGUUCAGUUCACAAAUUUAGAAAAUGUUCCUAUUUCAAAAAAAAACUUCCGACAUUGCAAAAAUUGUUUGCGGUUGCAAAAAUUGGUCUAAAAUUCAAAAAAUGUUCGUGUUUGAUAAAAUGUUAAGGAAUUUCAAAAAAUGUCCGUGGUUUAAUUUUUUUAGAUAUUUCAUAAAGUUCCAUUUUCAAAAAAAAAUAUUCACAAAUUCAAAAAAUGUUCGCGGUUUCAUUUUUUUGUAAUUUCAUAAAAAGUUCCAUUUUUCAAAUAGUUGUUCAAAAAUUCAAAAUUGUUCGUGGUUUACAAUUUGUUCGGGAUUUCAUAAUUUGUUCACAACUUCAAAUAAUGGUUCAUGUUUUUCAAAAACAUUUUCUGCAGUUUCAAUUUUUUUGUGCACAUAUGCAAAAAAUUGUUCCUGUGUACAAAAUAUGUUCAGAAAUGAAAAAAAUGGUCGCACUUUUUCAAAAUAUACACUUUCAGAAAAAAUGUACAAUUUCUUUUAAGAUGUUCACUACAGUGUGUAAUUCUGGUUUGAUACAGUAGAUAAGUCCGGUUGUAUGGUUGUGCCAGUUAUUAAAAGUGCGCAUUGGUUUGCUACAAUCAAUGCUAGUCAGGUGGAGUGGCUGGGAGCAUGCACUUCAAAGCUGUAGGUCGCAGGUUUGAGUUUCCAUCGCUCCUUCUCUCCCCUUUUUUCUUUCUUUUCUUUCCACCGAUACAGCGCGAUGGGCCGGCCCAGUUAGUUUGCGCCCCUGUGUGUUUCAACGACAUUUUGACGCAAAGCGCGUUCAAUAGGACCUCCCCUAGAAUAGUACUAACUUGUACGGGAGCUCCUAGUUGGCGCUGUAGGCGCCGGUUCGCGCCGCUGGUGCCCGCGCGGACACGAACUGGGCCGGCCCAACAAGCUGCUGAGAAGCAAAAAGCGAAGGGAAAAAUUACUGUGUGAGGUUUAUUCGGGAGAAUCGGGAGUCAAACUCGUAACACCCAAGUAAACGACCACAUGGGUCGACCACUGGACCAAGCUCACUGUGAUGCUUACUUUAGGAAAUCAUAACUCUUUAAUAUUUCAUACAGUAACGCACAGGUAGAGGACUACAGACCAUACGACAAGGAGUGGCUGAGAAGUAUACUACGAGACUCCGUGAGGGAAACGAGCCACCGGAGGCCUGAGGGGCAUAUCAUUGAUACUUCCUCUGUAAAGAAAUAUAAGAGCGUUUAGAUCAGAAAUCCCUUUUGAUGACCGAGCUCCAAUGAGGCCUCCAAAUUCAAAUUUCAAAUUUCAAAUUUCAUCAAAAUUCAUAUUUUUACGUUUCAAAAAAUUCUGAAAAAAAACACAGAUAUACAUGAAGGCAUAACACACAUGUGUGUAAAUUUUCAGGGCAAAAUACGUUGAAAUGAGGGCUGUGCAAAAUAAACAAAUAUGGGGUUGUUUAACACAUGAUACUAUUCAUCCUCUCAUGCCAUGAAUUUGUCUUUUUUAUACAGGUCGCAACUCAAGUUAUUUCAUCAUGAAGUUUUACACACAUGUGGGUUACAUCUUUACGUACACGCAUAUUUUUUUCAGAAUUUUUUGAAACAUUAAAGUUUGAAUUUGAAUUUUUCAAACAUAAAGGGCUCCAUGGAGCUCGGCCUCCAAAACGCCAUUCUCCGUUUAGAUCACUAUUUUAGUGAUCUGAACGCUCUUAUAUUUCUUUACGGAGGGAGUACGUGAUCUAUCUGAAAUUUAAACACAAGGACAUACUUUCAAUCAUAGAUUUUGUUUAGCUACGGUAUUGCAUCUAUGUGUUGUGUUCGUUAGCAGGCUACGCCCAUACCUAGCUUGCCAGGAGGGGUGCCAGAUGCAAGUAUAUGAAAUUACCAUAAUUGAUAACAAUUGCAACAUCUGAAGGAAUGACCAAACUCCUAAUCCUGCCAUGCCCCUUCCGGCUUCUACGUACUACCCUCCCACUGACCAACUCUGCUCUCAGUGUGCCUUCCAUCCCCGGCAAUGUGUUGUGACCCGGUUCCUCGAUCCGACCAAUCCUGAUUUGAUAAGUAAAUCACGGGUGUUGUGAAGAAACGGGUAGGAAAUGAGGGAAGGCGUAUGGACCAGAUGCACAGAGUGAAUCUUGCAGGACAACCAUCACGCCCAUUUCAAUAAUAUUAGUGUUUUAAUGUUUUGAAAUAUUCCCUUGCAGGGGUGCAAUGACAUGUACGACAUGUGGGGCAAGCUCAGUGUCAUGGGAUUGCCCACAUUCGGAUACGUUGUGAUUAGGUGAUGUGUUCAAAUAUAUGAUAUGGACCUAUUGAGAGCUUUGAGUUAUGCUUAUCAGCUAGAAACAAAAUCAAUUAUUUCCCCGUUGCAACGCAUGGGUCACUGCAUAUACUUUGCAUGUACGUCAAAGGCAGGUCGAAGACAAUUUUUAUAAAACCGAUUGAACAAUCGUCAUGUGCCAAGCAAAAGUUGGAGUCAGGGCAUCUCCAGCCGUUGGCCCCCCAGGAGGGGCAAAAAAUCGCCCCCUGGUGGCGCACCGGCGCUAAACCGCGCACUGGGGGCGUGAUGCCCCCCAGUCGCGGCGCCCACGGUAUUUUAAAAAAUUUAAACACGGCACAAACACGGCGCAAAUUCAUUGCAAACUUCGGCGAGUUCGUUCAAACUUAAACAUAUUUUACAAAAAAAAAAACCGUGGGCUACUCCCGACGUCUCCCUCG